CCCCUCUCAAGGUUGCACCUGGAGAGUUUCCAAUACUCUACCAGUCUCAACUAUGGGAGGGAGAGUCAAGCAGAAGCAUACCCGUUCCAUUCCUAUCUUGGCCAAUGACGAGCGAAUGGAAGUCAAUCUGCUACAAGU
Small nucleolar RNA from Ornithorhynchus anatinus (platypus), 138 nucleotides. NCBI's taxonomy places the organism in Eukaryota, Metazoa, Chordata, Mammalia, Monotremata, Ornithorhynchidae. The record is from RefSeq and is a predicted model, not a curated record.